AGCCAGACUCCUACGGGAGGCAGCAGUGGGGGAUAUUGCACAAUGGGGGAAACCCUGAUGCAGCGACGCCGCGUGAGUGAAGAAGUAUUUCGGUAUGUAAAGCUCUAUCAGCAGGGAAGAAAAAAGACGGUACCUGACUAAGAAGCCCCGGCUAACUACGUGCCAGCAGCCGCGGUAAUACGUAGGGGGCAAGCGUUAUCCGGAAUUACUGGGUGUAAAGGGUGAGUAGGCGGCAUGGUAAGCCAGAUGUGAAAGCCUUGGGCUUAACCCAAGGAUUGCAUUUGGAACUAUCAAGCUAGAGUACAGGAGAGGUAAGCGGAAUUCCUAGUGUAGCGGUGAAAUGCGUAGAUAUUAGGAGGAACACCAGCGGCGAAGGCGGCUUACUGGACCGUGACUGACGUUGAGGCUCGAAAGCGUGGGGAGCAAACAGGAUUAGAUACCCCUGUAGA
RNAcentral lists this ribosomal RNA (449 nucleotides) under uncultured bacterium. RNAcentral's name for it is "bacterial SSU rRNA". It matches the Rfam family "Bacterial small subunit ribosomal RNA", at positions 329 to 794 of the family's 1533-position model. The record is from RNAcentral.